GGUUAUCAGGGACUAGAUCAACGGACUGAAAAUCCGUGUGUCGGCGGUUCAAUCCCGCCCCUGCCCA
This 67-nucleotide transfer RNA is filed under the name Planctomycetaceae bacterium. RNAcentral's name for it is "tRNA-Phe". It matches the Rfam family "tRNA", at positions 10 to 71 of the family's 71-position model. Rfam says of the family: Transfer RNA (tRNA) molecules are approximately 80 nucleotides in length. Their secondary structure includes four short double-helical elements and three loops (D, anti-codon, and T loops). Further hydrogen bonds mediate the characteristic L-shaped molecular structure. tRNAs have two regions of fundamental functional importance: the anti-codon, which is responsible for specific mRNA codon recognition, and the 3' end, to which the tRNAs corresponding amino acid is attached (by aminoacyl-tRNA synthetases). tRNAs cope with the degeneracy of the genetic code in two manners: having more than one tRNA (with a specific anti-codon) for a particular amino acid; and 'wobble' base-pairing, i.e. permitting non-standard base-pairing at the 3rd anti-codon position. Lineage: Bacteria; Pseudomonadati; Planctomycetota; Planctomycetia; Planctomycetales; Planctomycetaceae. The record is from RNAcentral.